GCCUAGCAACAGUGGCCUAGCAACAGCUUACAUCAUCACCUGCUUCCGGGUACAAGCCAGGUGCCUCAGCUUAUAAGAAGACUGCUACCCAACACUCUCUCCCUUUCUUCACUCUCUCUUUCUUGUCCCCACAUGUUCCCGGCUGGCCUCUUCCUCCUCUCUCUUUUUAUCUUUCUCCCCUCCUUUUUCUGCCCCCAUCCAGCCCUCCCCCUGCCCCUAACAAAUCUUCUUUAUACUAGGCCUGAGGGAUGGUGUGAUUCCUCAGAGGGAGACCUUUUCUGGGCUCACUAACUGUCCUGUCACCUCCACCACAAUUAUACCGCAUUAUGAUUGUGGUUUGAAUAUGCUUGUCCUAGGGAGUGGCAUUAUUAGGAGGUAUGGCCUUGUUGGAGGAAGUGUGUCACUGUGGGGGUGGACAAUAAGACCCUCCUCCUAGCUGCCUGGGAGACAGUCUAUCCUGGAUGCAGUCAGGUCAAGAUGCAGAACUCUCAGCUCCUUUUCCAGAACUGUGUCUGCCUGGAUUCUGCUGUGCUACCUACUGUGAUGAUAAUGGACUGAACCUCUGAAACUGUCCACAUCCAUAUGUGUGAAAGUGCAUGAGGAGGACAUGGAAUGAUGCCACAAUAAACAGUUGCUAUCAAGGCUAAAAACAAAGAAGCUUUGGACAAAUUUGAACUCAAAAGAAUCCAGUACUUCAAACAUAAAAAGAAUCAUAUAACCUGAUAGUGAGGAUUUCUGGACCUAGAUAAGUAGGACUGGAAAGAAAGAGGCCUGGACAAACAAAAAGGAAAAAAAAAAAAAAAAAAAAAGAGUGUGGGCAAUGGGAAAAUCUGACCUGGAAGGAGGUCAGGACCAAAAAAAAAAAAAAAAA
This is a long non-coding RNA of Mus musculus (house mouse), 871 nucleotides long. RefSeq annotates it as predicted gene, 34905. The transcript is spliced from 3 exons. The record is from RefSeq and is a predicted model, not a curated record. Lineage: Eukaryota; Metazoa; Chordata; Mammalia; Rodentia; Muridae.